This 497-nucleotide ribosomal RNA is filed under the name uncultured bacterium. RNAcentral's name for it is "partial 16S ribosomal RNA". It matches the Rfam family "Bacterial small subunit ribosomal RNA", at positions 28 to 507 of the family's 1533-position model. The record is from RNAcentral.
GAUGAACGCUGGCGGCAUGCCUAAUACAUGCAAGUCGAGCGAACAGAUGAGGAGCUUGCUCCUCUGACGUUAGCGGCGGACGGGUGAGUAACACGUGGAUAACCUACCUAUAAGACUGGGAUAACUUCGGGAAACCGGAGCUAAUACCGGAUAAUAUAUUGAACCGCAUGGUUCAAUAGUGAAAGACGGUUUUGCUGUCACUUAUAGAUGGAUCCGCGCCGCAUUAGCUAGUUGGUAAGGUAACGGCUUACCAAGGCAACGAUGCGUAGCCGACCUGAGAGGGUGAUCGGCCACACUGGAACUGAGACACGGUCCAGACUCCUACGGGAGGCAGCAGUAGGGAAUCUUCCGCAACGGGCGAAAGCCUGACGGAGCAACGCCGCGUGAGUGAUGAAGGUCUUCGGAUCGUAAAACUCUGUUAUUAGGGAAGAACAAAUGUGUAAGUAACUAUGCACGUCUUGACGGUACCUAAUCAGAAAGCCACGGCUAACUACGUG